This 484-nucleotide ribosomal RNA is filed under the name uncultured bacterium. Its description in RNAcentral is "partial 16S ribosomal RNA". It matches the Rfam family "Bacterial small subunit ribosomal RNA", at positions 28 to 507 of the family's 1533-position model. The record is from RNAcentral.
AUUGAACGCUGGCGGCAUGCUUUACACAUGCAAGUCGAACGGCAGCGCGGGCUUCGGCCUGGCGGCGAGUGGCGAACGGGUGAGUAAUGCAUCGGAACGUGCCCAGUAGUGGGGGAUAGCCCGGCGAAAGCCGGAUUAAUACCGCAUACGACCUGAGGGUGAAAGCGGGGGACCGAAAGGCCUCGCGCUAUUGGAGCGGCCGAUGUCGGAUUAGCUAGUUGGUGGGGUAAAGGCUUACCAAGGCGACGAUCCGUAGCUGGUCUGAGAGGACGACCAGCCACACUGGGACUGAGACACGGCCCAGACUCCUACGGGAGGCAGCAGUGGGGAAUUUUGGACAAUGGGGGCAACCCUGAUCCAGCCAUGCCGCGUGCGGGAAGAAGGCCUUCGGGUUGUAAACCGCUUUUGUUCGGGAAGAAAUCCUCUGGGCUAAUACCCCGGGGGGAUGACGGUACCGGAAGAAUAAGCAUCGGCUAACUACGUG